UUCGACUAAGGUUCGAUUCGAGCGUCAGCGAGAAAGCGUUGCCGCAGGCAACGACCCGAAGGGCGAAGCGCGCAGCGCUGAGUCAUCCUUCCCCCACCACCA
RNAcentral lists this small RNA (102 nucleotides) under Salmonella enterica subsp. enterica serovar Heidelberg. Its description in RNAcentral is "partial RtT sRNA". It matches the Rfam family "RtT RNA", at positions 31 to 130 of the family's 130-position model. From Rfam's summary of the family: This family represents a bacterial cis-regulatory element known as RtT RNA. Lineage: Bacteria; Pseudomonadati; Pseudomonadota; Gammaproteobacteria; Enterobacterales; Enterobacteriaceae. The record is from RNAcentral. RNAcentral also lists the same sequence under 5 other names.